This 1677-nucleotide ribosomal RNA is filed under the name metagenome. Its description in RNAcentral is "bacterial LSU rRNA". It matches the Rfam family "Bacterial large subunit ribosomal RNA", at positions 831 to 2524 of the family's 2925-position model. The record is from RNAcentral.
AAUCGAACCCGGAGAUAGCUGGUUCUCCUCGAAAUAGCUUUAGGGCUAGCCUCAUGGAUCAUUGAUGGGGGUAGAGCACUGAAUGUGCGCGGGGGCCACAAAGCCUACCAAACGCUAUCAAACUUCGAAUACCAUACAAUGCAGACCAUGGGAGUCAGUCCGCGAGAGAUAAGUUCCGCGGGCAAAAGGGGAACACCCCAGAUCAACCGCUAAGGUCCCCAAGUUCACGUUAAGUGGAGAAGGAUGUGGAAUUGCACAGACAACCAGGAUGUUGGCUCAGAAGCAGCCACACAUUUAAAGAGUGCGUAAUAGCUCACUGGUCGAGUGAUUGUGCGCCGAAGAUGUCCGGGGCUAAACGUGACACCGAAGCGAUGGGUGCAUCUGAAAGGAUGCGCGGUAGAGGAGCAAUGUGCAGAGGCAGAAGCCGUAUCGAGAGGCACGGUGGACACUGCACAAGAGAGAAUGCCGGUAUGAGUAGCGAGAGGCAUGCGAGAAACAUGCCCGUCGAAAGCCCAAGGUUUCCUGGGGAAGGUUCAUCCGCCCAGGGUAAGUCGGGGCCUAAGCCGAGGACGGAAGUCGUAGGCGAUGGACAGCAGGUGUAGAUUCCUGCACUACCGAUGGAAUGAAGCAGUGACACAGAAGGAUAACUCGAGCAGGGUGAUGGUCAACCCUGUGCAAGCAUCAAGGUUGGGUUGUAGUGAAGUACGCAAUCCUACAAGCUGAGGUGUGAUGCGGACCGAAAUUUCAGUAGGGAAGCGAGUGAGUUCACGCUGGCGAGAAAAGCUGCUAGUACAUCCAAAGGUACCCGUACCGGAAACCGACGCAGGUGGGCGAGGAGAGAAUCCUGAGACGAACGGGAGAACCCUUGUUAAGGAACUCGGCAAAAUGACCCCGUAACUUCGGGAUAAGGGGUGCCUGCGAGAGCAGGCCGCAGAGAAUAGUCACAAGCGACUGUUUAGCAAAAACACAGGUAUCUGCGAAAGCGAGAGCUGACGUAUAGGUGCUGACACCUGCCCGGUGCUGGAAGGUUAAGGGAACAUGUUAGAGCAAUCGAAGCAUCGAACCGAAGCCCCAGUAAACGGCGGCCGUAACUAUAACGGUCCUAAGGUAGCGAAAUUCCUUGUCGGGUAAGUUCCGACCCGCACGAAUGGUGUAACGACUUGUGAGCUGUCUCAACAGGGGGCCCGGUGAAAUUGAAGUAUGGGUGAAGAUGCCCAUUACCCGCGACUGGACGGAAAGACCCCGUAGAGCUUUACUGCAGCCUGAUAUUGAGUUUCGGUAACUGAUGCACAGGAUAGGUGGGAGUCUGAGAGACAUGGGUUUCGGCUCGUGUGGAGACGGUGUUGGGAUACCACUCUUCGGUUACUGAAAUUCUAACAUAGCUCUGUGAAACCAGAGGAUGGACAGUGUCAGGUGGACAGUUUGACUGGGGCGGUCGCCUCCGAAAGAGUAACGGAGGCGCCCAAAGGUACCCUCAGAAUGGAUGGAAACCAUUCGAAGAGCGCAAAGGCAGAAGGGUGCCUGACUGCGAGAUUGACAAAUCGAGCAGAGACGAAAGUCGGGCUUAGUGAUCCGGCGGUAUUGAGUGGAAAAGCCGUCGCUUAACGGAUAAAAGCUACCUCGGGGAUAACAGGCUGAUCUCCCCCAAGAGUCCACAUCGACGGGGAGGUUUGGCAC